GUGACACACAAACACGCUACAUUGGUGCCAAAUGGUGUUCUUCAGUUCAGUAGUCGAAGUGUUUGGAAGAAGACAUUUUUCUGUGCAAGUUCUAUUAUUGUGGCAGUUCUCUACUUUGUAGUUAAAUGUGGAUUUAGUCGAGUUCUUCAUCUGCUAUCAAAGGCUCGUAACCGUCUUGAUAUUGUGAAGAGAGGUGAUCUUCGAUUAUCUCUAACAACGCUGCAACCAGAUAUAC
This is a long non-coding RNA of Cryptotermes secundus, 235 nucleotides long. RefSeq lists it as uncharacterized. NCBI's taxonomy places the organism in Eukaryota, Metazoa, Arthropoda, Insecta, Blattodea, Kalotermitidae. The record is from RefSeq and is a predicted model, not a curated record. The transcript has 3 exons.